Long non-coding RNA from Dama dama (fallow deer), 1029 nucleotides. RefSeq lists it as uncharacterized. Lineage: Eukaryota; Metazoa; Chordata; Mammalia; Artiodactyla; Cervidae. The transcript has 3 exons. The record is from RefSeq and is a predicted model, not a curated record.
UGAGGCCGGGACUUGGGGUGAACCCGGGUGAAGAAGUGGACGGGGCUUCCGGCAAAGGGGCGCGUGCUGCUUCAGCUGCCACUCAGGACCUGGGACUCAGACUCCGGACCUGGGACGCUGGAUCUCCGCUCCUGGACUGGCUCUUUCUCUCAGCUGCCGGACCCCGAAUUUAAAUCAGUACAUCUGUCCUCCCCAGACCGUAAGAGGAUGGUUAACUUCUCUUUCCCGAUUCCGCCCCUCACUGCCAGUCACCAGGAGUUAGUUCAGGUGCCAUCCAUUAGCUAGUGACCAGUGACAUCCAUUAUGCAUGGCCAUGAAUAUUUAUCUAGUGCCUUAUACCUGUACCAGAGAGGAUAGGAAAAGAGGAGUUACAAAGAAGCUUUUCCCCCACACCAGAUGACCAGCUCAGCUGAAGAAACCAGGUGGACCCAUCUUCAGUACACUGUUGAACUUCUGUCCGAAGUCAAGGUGAUAACUUUCAAUAUUAUAACUUUGCAUAUAAAUAUUUUCUUAGAUACGUUUUAUAAAUGCUUUGUCAGAUUCAAGAAUUUUAUUUUCCUAUUACCUACGAUUUUUUUAAGAUCAUUAAUGGCUGUAGGAUUUUAUUAUAUUCUUUUUCUGAAUUUUUUGAGAUGAUCAGCUUUUGAGUACUUCUUUUAAUAUGGUGAAAUAAAUUAAUUUUUAAAUGUUAAACCAACUCUGUAUUCCCAGAAUAAAACCAAUUUGAUCAUGAUACAGUAUUAUUUUUUCAUAUACUAUUUGCUUUGACAAUAUUUGUUAAAAAUUUAUAUAUCUUUAUGAGAAAAAUUUGCCUGUAAUUUUCCAUUCUAGUUAUGACUUGUCAGGUUUUAUUGUUAAAGCUAGCCUAAUUCCUCACAUAUUUGGAAGAGUUCAUUGUGAAAUCAUUAAGACCUGGUGAUUUUUCACCUGUUUUCUUGAAAAUAUUUAUUAUGGAUUACUAAUGCAUGGGUUCAAUAUCUGAAUCAUCUGUGGGUCUGUUUAUUUUCCCUUUUUUCUCUUUGUUUUUAG